This 253-nucleotide ribosomal RNA is filed under the name uncultured bacterium. Its description in RNAcentral is "partial 16S ribosomal RNA". It matches the Rfam family "Bacterial small subunit ribosomal RNA", at positions 524 to 776 of the family's 1533-position model. The record is from RNAcentral.
UACGUAGGGUGCAAGCGUUGUCCGGAAUUAUUGGGCGUAAAGGGCUCGUAGGCGGUCCAUCGCGUCUGCUGUGAAAAUCCGGGGCUCAACCCCGGACUUGCAGUGGGUACGGGCAGACUAGAGUGUGGUAGGGGAGACUGGAAUUCCUGGUGUAGCGGUGAAAUGCGCAGAUAUCAGGAGGAGCACCCGUGGCUAAGGCGGCUCUCUAGUACGGUACUGACGCUGAGACGCGAAAGCGUGGGGAGCGAACAGG